GCUAUGUAAACCAGGCUGGCCUUGAACUCAUAGAGAUCCCUUGCUUCUGCCUCCCAAGUGCUGAUAUUAAAGGUGUACACCUCCAUGCCGAGCAUCUUAUAAUAACUUAGUAGAGCAUGGUGAAGCCUAACAGAUCAGAACUAACAGGCCACUGCUGCUCUAAGAGGUUGCCCUCUGCCUCAGACUUUCUGCUAAUCAUUCUCAUGUUUUUACUUCCUUAUGUUUACGUCCUUGGUGGACGUGGAUGUUGUCAAACCCUGUGUCUUCUGAGGCUUGGAUGGAUGGUCACAAGGUGGAGUGAAGGCACUCUUGGGACUACAUGUUACAUCAGAGGUCAUCUUCCUCUCUCUAGCCAAUCCUAGGGAUGACAUCCCCACCUCCGAAAUGGGUUCGCUGUGUGCCAAGCAUACUGGUAGGAAGGGUUUUGUUCCUGGAAUUCGGGAAGGCUGCCCAGUUUGCUGAAGUGAGCAGAAAGUCUUCACAGGGUGAGGUAACUUGUCCCCAU
RNAcentral lists this long non-coding RNA (505 nucleotides) under Rattus norvegicus (Norway rat). RNAcentral describes it as "long non-coding RNA NONRATT032926". Lineage: Eukaryota; Metazoa; Chordata; Mammalia; Rodentia; Muridae. The record is from RNAcentral.